CAGCAGCCACGGUAAUACGUAGGUGGCAAGCGUUGUCCGGAAUUAUUGGGCGUAAAGGGCUCGCAGGCGGUUUCUUAAGUCUGAUGUGAAAGCCCCCGGCUCAACCGGGGAGGGUCAUUGGAAACUGGGAAACUUGAGUGCAGAAGAGGAGAGUGGAAUUCCACGUGUAGCGGUGAAAUGCGUAGAGAUGUGGAGGAACACCAGUGGCGAAGGCGACUCUCUGGUCUGUAACUGGCGCUGAGGAGCGAAAGCGUGGGGAGCGAACAGGAUUAGAUACCCCUGUAGUCCCUGUCUCUUAUAC
Molecule: ribosomal RNA, 301 nt
Filed under: uncultured bacterium
Lineage: Bacteria
Description: partial 16S ribosomal RNA
Rfam family: Bacterial small subunit ribosomal RNA
Source: RNAcentral